Molecule: ribosomal RNA, 123 nt
Filed under: Danio rerio (zebrafish)
Lineage: Eukaryota; Metazoa; Chordata; Actinopteri; Cypriniformes; Danionidae
Source: RNAcentral
UUCUGCAGGAAGGUAGCUCUCCAGGAAUAGGGUUGGUGACCCCUGCUCUAAAGCUAAGCAGGGCUGAGCCUGGUCAGUACCUAAAUGGGAGACCACAUGGGAAAAACUAGGUUGCUGUUGGUA